AAGUCGUAACAAGGUUUCCGUAGGUGAACCUGCGGAAGGAUCAUUAAAGAGACGUUGCCCUUCGGGGUAUACCUCCCACCCUUUGUUUAUUAUACCAUUGUUGCUUUGGCAGGCCCGUCCUUCGGGACCCCCGGCUCCGGCUGGGCCGCGCCUGCCAGAGGACCCUAAACUCUGUUUGUUAAUGUCGUCUGAGUACUAUAUAAUAGUUAAAACUUUCAACAACGGAUCUCUUGGUUCUG
RNAcentral lists this unclassified non-coding RNA (239 nucleotides) under Pseudeurotium sp. RNAcentral describes it as "partial contains small subunit ribosomal RNA, internal transcribed spacer 1, and 5.8S ribosomal RNA". The stretch from base 1 to 46 matches the Rfam family "Eukaryotic small subunit ribosomal RNA", at positions 1786 to 1831 of the family's 1831-position model. The record is from RNAcentral. Lineage: Eukaryota; Fungi; Ascomycota; Leotiomycetes; Thelebolales; Pseudeurotiaceae.